This 464-nucleotide ribosomal RNA is filed under the name uncultured bacterium. RNAcentral describes it as "partial 16S ribosomal RNA". It matches the Rfam family "Bacterial small subunit ribosomal RNA", at positions 340 to 795 of the family's 1533-position model. The record is from RNAcentral.
UACGGGACGCUCCAGUGGGGAAUAUUGCGCAAUGGGAGAAACCCUGACGCAGCGACGCCGCGUGUAGGAAGAAGGCCUUCGGGUCGUAAACUACUGUCAGGAGGGAAGAAACUGUUUAGGUCGAAUAGGCCUAUUCACUGACGGUACCUCCAGAGGAAGCACCGGCUAACUCCGUGCCAGCAGCCGCGGUAAUACGGAGGGUGCGAGCGUUAAUCGGAAUCACUGGGCGUAAAGCGUGCGUAGGCGGCGCAGCAAGUCAGACGUGAAAGCCCUCGGCUCAACCGAGGAAUUGCGUUUGAAACUGCUGUGCUUGAGUCUCGGAGAGGUUGGCGGAAUUCCAGGUGUAGGAGUGAAAUCCGUAGAUAUCUGGAGGAACACCGGUGGCGAAGGCGGCCAACUGGACGAGUACUGACGCUGAGGUACGAAAGCGUGGGGAGCAAACAGGAUUAGAUACCCCUGUAGUC